GACAGAGGGUGCAAACGUUGUUCGGAAUUACUGGGCGUAAAGCGCGUGUAGGCGGCUUGGCAAGUCGGGUGUGAAAGCCCUGGGCUCAACCCAGGAAGUGCACUCGAAACUACUUCGCUCGAGUAUCGGAGAGGAAAGCGGAAUUCUCGGUGUAGAGGUGAAAUUCGUAGAUAUCGAGAGGAACACCGGUGGCGAAGGCGGCUUUCUGGACGAUUACUGACGCUGAGACGCGAAAGCGUGGGGAGCAAACAGG
Molecule: ribosomal RNA, 253 nt
Filed under: uncultured bacterium
Lineage: Bacteria
Description: partial 16S ribosomal RNA
Rfam family: Bacterial small subunit ribosomal RNA
Source: RNAcentral